CUUGACAUACCGAUGACAGGUCUAGAGAUAGUAUUUCCCUUUUAGGGCAUCGGAUACAGGUGGUGCAUGGUUGUCGUCAGCUCGUGUCGUGAGAUGUUGGGUUAAGUCCCGCAACGAGCGCAACCCUAUUGUUAGUUGCCAUCAUUAAGUUGGGCACUCUAGCGAGACUGCCAGUAAUAAACUGGAGGAAGGUGGGGAUGACGUCAAAUCAUCAUGCCCCUUAUGACCUGGGCUACACACGUGCUACAAUGGGAAGUACAACGAGUUGCGAGGCGGUGACGCCAAGCUAAUCUCUUAAAGCUUCUCUCAGUUCGGAUUGUAGGCUGCAACUCGCCUACAUGAAGUCGGAAUCGCUAGUAAUCGCGGAUCAGCACGCCGCGGUGAAUACGUUCCCGGGCCUUGUACACACCGCCCGUCACACCACGAGAGUUUGUAACACCCGAAGUCGGUGAGGUAACCGUAAGGAGCCAACCGCCUAAGGUGGGAUAGAUGAUUGGGGUGAAGUCGUAACAAGGUAGGCGUAGAUGA
This 528-nucleotide ribosomal RNA is filed under the name uncultured bacterium. Its description in RNAcentral is "bacterial SSU rRNA". It matches the Rfam family "Bacterial small subunit ribosomal RNA", at positions 980 to 1509 of the family's 1533-position model. The record is from RNAcentral.